RNAcentral lists this transfer RNA (71 nucleotides) under Pseudomonas syringae pv. actinidiae ICMP 18886. RNAcentral describes it as "tRNA-OTHER". It matches the Rfam family "tRNA", at positions 1 to 58 of the family's 71-position model. From Rfam's summary of the family: Transfer RNA (tRNA) molecules are approximately 80 nucleotides in length. The record is from RNAcentral. Lineage: Bacteria; Pseudomonadati; Pseudomonadota; Gammaproteobacteria; Pseudomonadales; Pseudomonadaceae. RNAcentral also lists the same sequence under 4 other names.
GGGCCCAUAGCUCAGUUGGUUAGAGCAGAGGACUCAUAAUCCUUUGGUCCACGGUUCUUAUGUAGGGUACU